UGAGUAACACGAGCAGCUCCUCAUACUGGAUGUAGGGCUUUCCUUGCCCGAACCAGUCUAACCCCGUGUCCUCUCACGCCACCAUCCAAAGCCUUACGUGCAUAAAAGAAAUUUACUAGCCGUAGUCUUGAUUCGCUAAUCUUGACAACGAUAGUUGGCGCGCCAAGUAGAGGACCUUUGCGCGUACAUCACCAGCUGUAGAUGGCCAGCCGUGAUGCCAGCUUUGCUCCCAGCUCCCUCGUCCAUUUCGGGAGCUUGGAUUUCCUCGCCACGGGGGAGGAAAUUGAGCUGAUCCCUCUCCUUGUCCUGCCCGCUCGCUCCAUUGUUCCCAGCUCCGCCGCCGGAAUAGUGGUGAGCGGCCGGGCGCGCGCCACGGGGCCCCCUUCGGAGGAGUAGCCCUUCGGGCUGCGCAAUGCCGAGGCAACCCAUGGUCGC
RNAcentral lists this long non-coding RNA (435 nucleotides) under Setaria viridis. Its description in RNAcentral is "long non-coding RNA (SVIR_LNC005459)". The record is from RNAcentral. Lineage: Eukaryota; Viridiplantae; Streptophyta; Magnoliopsida; Poales; Poaceae.